RNAcentral lists this long non-coding RNA (517 nucleotides) under Carica papaya (papaya). RNAcentral describes it as "long non-coding RNA (CPAP_LNC015287)". Lineage: Eukaryota; Viridiplantae; Streptophyta; Magnoliopsida; Brassicales; Caricaceae. The record is from RNAcentral.
GACGGCCCAGAUUGCAUCGCGGUGGACGACCCAGAUUUAAUUCCAAUUAAAUCUCGAUCGGACAGUACAUAUGUAAUCUUGAUGGACGGUUGAGAUUAAAAGGCAAAUGGUAUAAAUAUCCCCACCCACACCUGACAACAAAACCCUAGCCGCUAGUGCCUCGCCGGAGAAGAAAAAUUGGACGUCGGAGGAGCCAGCCGCCGCUGCACCGGAGAAGUUUUCGAUCGCCAAUCGAGGUAAAUUUUCUCCCCUGGCUCAUUUUUCGAUGCUGAAUCCGCUUAUGGCCAAACCGGAGCCAAACCACCGGCCAAACGGCUGAAAAACCCCACCGAAGUCCGACAGCGCCGCCAUGACUCCCCUCUGUUUUUGCCUUCGAUGAGGCCCUUCCCGGCCUCCGUUCGAUGCAAAUUUUAUACCACUGUGAUCACCGUUCUUUUCUCUACAGGUUGAUCGGAGCCAAACAUCAAAACGCAACUCACGCUGGAGGAGCCGCUGCACCCGAGAGCACCGCCGCCGG